GAUGAAGAACGUAGCGAAAUGCGAUAAGUAAUGUGAAUUGCAGAAUUCAGUGAAUCAUCGAAUCUUUGAACGCACAUUGCGCCCAUUAGUAUUCUAGUGGGCAUGCCUGUUCGAGCGUCAUUAAGUCCACUUAAGCCCUGCUUAGUGUUGGGAGACUGCUCCAGCGGUGCUACCCUGUAGCUACCCUGCAGCUCCUCAAAGACAGCGGCGGAGUUGUGGUAUCCUCUGAGCUUAGUAACUUGUUCUAGCUUUCGAGUACACCACUUCCCCUGCCGUAAAACCCUUAAUUUUUAAUGGUUGACCUCGGAUCAGGUAGGAAUACCCGCUAAACUUAAGCAUAUCAAUAAGCGGAGGA
RNAcentral lists this unclassified non-coding RNA (355 nucleotides) under soil metagenome. Its description in RNAcentral is "partial contains 5.8S ribosomal RNA, internal transcribed spacer 2, and large subunit ribosomal RNA". The stretch from base 1 to 120 matches the Rfam family "5.8S ribosomal RNA", at positions 35 to 154 of the family's 154-position model. The record is from RNAcentral.